GAUAAUGCCCGAGGUACGCGACAUUCGUGGGUAAGAAUGGCCCGAGGGCGAAGCCCGAGGGCCAUUCUUACCCACGAAUGGCGCGGUACCGAGCGGUAUUAUCCGACUUAAACUCCACCCGUGACGUCACCCUAUUGUCCUAGCGCUCCAUUAUUUUGCACGAAUGGAGCGACUUUGUUUCAUACAAAGACACACGUUUUGUCUUAUUGCGUAACUGUAAAAUGCAUUCAAAGGAAUUGUACAGAAUUGGACUGCGAAUAGUAUGUUAGCAUAAUGUUCUUACGUAACCAAUACAAUGCUGGAUUCUAGGCGCGCUUGGUAUAAAUGCUAAACCCCACCAAGGCACCAUGCAUUCGUUCUUGACUAGCGUGUCUGACACGCAGUUUUCAAUCUCAAGACGUUAGGACUGUUAUGAUAAAAAUACGUGAGAUACAGUGGAAUUAAAGCGUGCCAGGGAACUGGCUUUGAUACGGUGCUGAUACUAGCUCCAUGGAUAUAUCGGAUAAUAAUUUGCCGGCCGCUUCAAAUUUUGCCUGGAAGAUAUGAAAGACCAUUUCGACACUCCAAAUGAAUAUGAAGAUUGCAUGAAUGAGUAUAAAGUUCUGCCUGUGGAUAGUGUCACGAAGAAGGUCAAAACUAGCGGGCAGUCUCCAGUCGGACUACUUCGUCGACGGCAUUACCAACGUAACUCGAGACUAGUAAAACUACUCAUCGUUGGACAAGGAAGGACGAGCUAAAACCACUCAAAAUUGCAAGACUAAGAUUUUGGUGGUUUUUUUUUGUGUGCAAAAUGGCUACAAGUGUUCCAGGCCGGAUUUACAUUGCACGAACUCGUGAUUUUCCUUCAACUUUUCUUGGACACCAUGGAAAAGACCUACACAUUUCUUCAGGAUGUUGAGUUCUUGCCGAUCAAGAAUUUCUAGGACUGCAUGCUAGGCAUUGAAACCCAGGAACAAGAUUGAGAAAUAAAUUGCACUGCGAACCUUGUCAAAACAUUUGCUUUCAAUGUGAAACAUAUCACUGAAACGUUUAUAUUGUUACAUGUAACAUUACUUUGUGCAAACAUUAUGAACAAGAAAAAAAUGGUUCUUGACUUUCGCCUCAACACUAAGAAAUUGUAUACGAGAAUGCAUAACAUUCUAUUUGCAAAACGGUGUAGCAUACUGUAUAAAAAAUAUGGUUAUAUUGACUUUCACGUAAAGAAUGAUGCCUAAAAUUCCAUUUAAGAAACGGUGUAGGGCCUACGAAAAAAAUCUGUAUGAGAAAAAAAAUGGUUCUCGACUAACGUAAGCAUUGUACGAAAUGUAUAAGAAAAUGCAUAAAAUCAUCAUUGAGAAACGGUGUAAAAAUA
RNAcentral lists this long non-coding RNA (1351 nucleotides) under Patiria miniata (bat star). Its description in RNAcentral is "uncharacterized LOC119734295". Lineage: Eukaryota; Metazoa; Echinodermata; Asteroidea; Valvatida; Asterinidae. The record is from RNAcentral.